This 108-nucleotide ribosomal RNA is filed under the name Rhizopus stolonifer. Its description in RNAcentral is "partial small subunit ribosomal RNA". The record is from RNAcentral. Lineage: Eukaryota; Fungi; Mucoromycota; Mucoromycetes; Mucorales; Rhizopodaceae.
AAAUAUGACUUUAGUCCUAUUUUCGUUGGUUUAGGUACUUCAGUAAUGAUGAAUAGAAACGGUUAGGGGCAUUUGUAUUUGGUCGCUAGAGGUGAAAUUCUUGGAUUG